Molecule: long non-coding RNA, 7209 nt
Organism: Rhipicephalus sanguineus (brown dog tick)
Lineage: Eukaryota; Metazoa; Arthropoda; Arachnida; Ixodida; Ixodidae
Exons: 3
Source: RefSeq, a predicted model, not a curated record
GCGCUCUCUGGGGCUAUGCAUUUUGGCCGGCCUAAUUGUGUCGGGCGGCUGCCAGUCCCCGUACUUUCGUAUAAGUGGAAACAGCGACGGCUGUGUGCGCGCUGUACUGCUGUGCAAGGUGCAAACGCAAAGUGCUGGGACGACGCGACCAUAGUAAACGCCCUACGAUGAAUCGGAUACACGCGAGAGAUGUGCUUCGUGAGACGCUGUGCGCACACAAGUUCUCGCUACCGAAAGCCGACUCGUUCAGGACGCAUUGAAGCGGACACAGCCUGCAGUGAAAAACAACACGACGGCGGGAUGACGGAUUUCUUGCGAGUCAGCAACGAUAUAUGCAGACGUGGCAAAGCAAAGGAAAAGUGGGCUCUGGGACGAUGUGAUGCAGGAAAGCCCUCUACGAUGGAUCGCAUGCACGCGAAACUGUAGAUGCUUCAAGCAACGUUAGUGCGCGCGCCUUUAUCGACCAUGCCCUCCUCUGCCGAAAGUUGCGUUGAUCUGUUUGCAACGACGGGGAUACGCCCAAAGUGGCCACAUCGUUUCAUUCUUCACCACGCCUGGGCCCACCGAUGUGAAAAGUUAGCUUUAAGUCCCAUCAAUUUUAUUUUAUUUAUUUAGUUUUAUUUAAAAAUACCUUACAGGCCUCCAUUGAGGCAUUGUGUAAGGGGGGCAGUAUGAAAAAGUGGACUUCCAUAGUAGUUACAUAACAAAAAGUUCAUGAACAGUGGUCAUGUAGAUCACAUAAUAAGAAGAGCAAAACAAAAUAAUUAAUUAGUUCAUCAGCAAUGGUAACAAAAGAAAAUCAACAACACUAGCAAAGAUAAAACAUAUAAUAAGGAAAUAUUCAUCGAGUCAAGCACAAUUGAAAUCUUACAGUACUAGGGUUCGAAUAGAAAAAAAAGAAAAGCGACACUACGGUGCUAUACAAUAAGAAAUUGCAAGAAGGUUACAACACAGAGAGCACACUGCGAUAAUGGCAAAUAUUUUUACACCUCGUUGGCCAGAUAACUGGUCAAUGAGUCACGAAAUGCAUCAAUGUUUGUCAGACAUGCGAUGCUAUCUGGCAGGGAAUUCCAACAUCAGACUGCACGUGGAAGCGCAGAGCAGUUGAAUGCACGUGUUGAUCCUUAAAUGUGGGUAUAGCUAAAGUGAUUAUGAAGCUUGUGUGACGUGGAGUAGGGUCUUUUCAAGCAUGCUAGUGUUUCGAGAUGAAUGAAUGAAUUUGUGAAACAGUGUCAGCAAGGCAAUGUCACGUCGAGUACUCAAAGAUUACAAUGAAAGGUUAAGUUUGAUUUGUGAGAUGCUAGACUGAUAGCUGUAUUCGUUAUAAAUGAAGCGGCUUGCCCUGUUCUGAAUUCAUUCCAACAUGUCAGUAAGGUAUUUCUGGUGAGGGGACGAAAUAGGGGAAGCGUACUCGAGUUGAGGGCGAACGAGAGUAAGGUAUGCUAAUUUGCGAACAUUCGAAGAAGCGUUUCUUAAGUUUCGACGCAAGUAACCCAAAGAUUGGGAGGCUUUGGCUGAAACGGAGGUGAUGUGUUCUGACCAAGAAAGAUUUGUAGUGAAUAUAAUGCCUAGAUACUUAUAUUGUGUAGCGAUUGCAACAGUGUCUUUAUUGAUAUUGUAUGAAUGUAGGGAAGGUAUAGGCUUCCGAGUAAAUGACAUUACAUUUUGACGUAUUCAAUGUCAUUAGCCAUUUACUACACCAGUUACUAAUUGGUUCUAGAUCAUGCUGAAGAACCAGAUGGUCGUCUGUAUUAACUAUUGUGCGAUAGACAAUGCAGUCGUCAGCAAAUAUUCUUAUAGUGGAAGACACGUUAUGUGGAAGAUCGUUAAUAAAGAUGAGAAAGAGUAAAGGACCGAGGAUGCUUCCUUGUGGUACACCAGAAGUUACUUCAGUUAAGGAGGACGAGAAGUUAUUUGCAAUGGUGAACUGGUAACGAUUAGAAAGAAAGUUCCGGAGCCAUGAUAAAGUGAGACAGUCCAACUGAAGAGCUGAAAAUUUUGAAAUAAGGCGACAGUGUGCGAAGCGAUCAAACACCUUUGAAAAGUCCAGAAAAAAGCAGUCAGUUUGUUGGUUGUUGUUCAAGUUAGUGUGUAGGUCUGUAACAAAUUCAAGCAACUGUGUCUCGCACGAUAGGCCCUUUCUAAAACCAUGCUGAUUAUGAAAAAAAGAACUUGUUAGUCUUAAGGUGUCUGUAAAUCUGCGAGGCGAUAAUGUGUUCCAGUAACUUGCAAGAAAUGCAUGUCAAGGAGAUUGGUCGGUAUUUUUCGCACGAUGAUUAAAAUACCGGUAUGAUUUUUGCCAUUUUCCAGUCUGUAGGAAGGAGGCCAGUCGCGAGUCACUGCUUAAAUAUGUGAAGAAGAAUUUCACUUGACACUGUUACUGUAUUUUGUAAUAUUUUUUAGUUUAUACCAUCUAUGCCACAAGAAGAAGACAUCUUAAGGUUAUUUAUGAGUGAUGAUAGUCCCUCCAAUGUGAUUUCUAUAGGUUCCAUGUAUUGGUAGCUGAAAUCAGAAACCUAAGGUACGCUUGAAGUGUCCUCCUUCGUGAAUACGGAACUUUAAAAGCAGAUGAACACUCGCUAUUUGGAAGAGGAACACUACUGCUGCUGUGUAAGCAGAUAUCAUUAGAUUCGUGGUUGGGGCUUAUUACUUUCCAAAACUUAGCUGGAUUGUUUUUAAGUAGUUCAGGAAGGUCAUUAGAGAAAUAUUUGUCGUUUGCUUGGCCUAAAGCUGAGCAAUAUGUUUUAAGAUAGCAUUUUAAUUCUGCCAUGAAGAUGAUGUGCGAAGGCUCUUAGCGAUAUUAUACAGUCGUUUCUUUCUGCUCCUCAUGCGCUUGGUGUUCUUGGUGUUCAUCAUGGCUAAUGAAGCUAAAUCACUCCAAGGCUAAACUCGUCUUCUUUACACGAAAUUCCAGCUGCCUCCUGACCACAUAUACACUUAAUCAUGGUUAAAUUUGAAGCAGCGCACGACGACAGACACAAAAGGAACGAACGGGACACCGCUGCACUCUCAACUAGUUUAUAUAAAUAAAUAAAUAAUAAAUAAAUUUCGCAGAAAAACAUGGUUAAUAUACAACAAGACGGUGUACCACGUGCUACAAUGACGUUCAAGCUACAUCAUAUUUUCUAAAAAGCACACUUCGCAAUCGCUCAAAGUUAUCGAUGCUUGGCUAAUGCAGUAAUCUUUUCUUUUUGCGAUGUGGAAGGCCUCGAUCACUUCCCUGGUCACCUGAUCUCUGUGACUGGAAAGUAUUUCAGUCUCAGAGAACAGCGGGGAGCAGCCACACUCCGAACAAUGCCGCCUUAUGUGUGAGUAAGCAUUAUUAGCUAAUGCUCUCUUGUGCUCCGUCAACCUUGUAUUUAUGCACCGGCCAGUUUGGCCGAUGUACAUCUUCCCGCAUGACAUGAGCAAACAGUAUACUACUGCAGUCCUGCACUCAACAAACGAAACAACGUGCUUGACAGAGCACCGAAAACUAUCCUUUUUUGUUGAUCGCCUCCUAUCCAGCCUCGCGCAGAUUUUUCCUAGUCUGUUAGGAGCAGAAAAAACAACAUGUAUUUCAUAUCGGCUGCCUACAUUUUUCAGAUUAUGCGAUAUACUGUGUGCAUAGGGUAUUGAGACACAUUUCUUUUUCUUUUCUUCAGAAUUCCUAUCUUUUUGAGGCUGCUCCAUAGACACACCACUGCGCACAUGACGAACCAACUUCUGUGCUGAUCUGCACAGAACAUGUUCUUCGUAACCCGCACUACCUAAUCUAUCUAUUGUUUAUUGAAACUGUCAUUAAUUUGGUGGGGACAAGAUUACCUACUACACGGAGGCAUAGCCUACUCAUGCCUCCGUGCUGCCUUGGCAAAAUCUUGUCCCCACCAAAUUAAUGACAGUUUCAAUAAACAAUAGAUAGAUUAGGUAGUGCGGGUUACGAAGAACAUGUUCUGUGCAGAUCAGCACAGAAGUUGGUUCGUCAUGUGCGCAGUGGUUUGUCUAUGGAGCAGCCUCAAAAAGAUAGGAAUUCUGAAGAAAAGAAAAAGAAAUGUGUCUCAAUACCCUAUGCACACAGUAUAUCGCAUAAUCUGAAAAAUGUAGGCAGCCGAUAUGAAAUACAUGUUGUUUUUUCUGCUCCUAACAGACUAGGAAAAAUCUGCGCGAGGCUGGAUAGGAGGCGAUCAACAAAAAAGGAUAGUUUUCGGUGCUCUGUCAAGCACGUUGUUUCGUUUGUUGAGUGCAGGACUGCAGUAGUAUACUGUUUGCUCAUGUCAUGCGGGAAGAUGUACAUCGGCCAAACUGGCCGGUGCAUAAAUACAAGGUUGACGGAGCACAAGAGAGCAUUAGCUAAUAAUGCUUACUCACACAUAAGGCGGCAUUGUUCGGAGUGUGGCUGCUCCCCGCUGUUCUCUGAGACUGAAAUACUUUCCAGUCACAGAGAUCAGGUGACCAGGGAAGUGAUCGAGGCCUUCCACAUCGCAAAAAGAAAAGAUUACUGCAUUAGCCAAGCAUCGAUAACUUUGAGCGAUUGCGAAGUGUGCUUUUUAGAAAAUAUGAUGUAGCUUGAACGUCAUUGUAGCACGUGGUACACCGUCUUGUUGUAUAUUAACCAUGUUUUUCUGCGAAAUAAACUAGUUGAGAGUGCAGCGGUGUCCCGUUCGUUCCUUUUGUGUCUGUCGUCGUGCGCUGCUUCAAAUUUAAUCAUGAACUAUCACCAACUCGCCCAACUUUCGACAUUACUGACACUUAAUCACACACCCGCAAAGUCAGCCAUCUCAUACAAAUAUCUAGGACUUCACCUACUAUCCGACGUAUCCUGGAACUGUCACACUGAUUACAUUCUUGCAGCUGCUAACCGCUCCCUUGGCAUGUUAAAACGUGACCUGCGUCACGCUCCUGCACACAUGCAAAAACUUGAGUAUAUUACCCUAAUCCGCAUUAAAAUUGAGUACGCUUCAGCUAUAUGGGACCCGGAACAAGCUUAUAUCAUUGAUAACAUAGAAUCCUUGCAGAACCGUGCUGCUCACUUCAUUUUCUCUGACUACUCUUGUUUCACUAGCUUCACUGCCUUAAGGUAGGUCACCACCUUCGAGAAAAAUUUUACAGUUGCAGUCCAAAAGUUAUAAUUAUGGUUUUGGCUUGUAGGGCUUAGGUAAAUUUAAACUUUAGAAUUAUGAAACUGCUAAAAAUGUAAAACACAAUAUUUAUAAAAAUCAAAAUCUGCCAAAAUAUGCAUGUUGCACCAACAGUCACAACUACAAAAUGGUUGGUGUGAUUGAAAUGCAACUUAGCAGCUAUGUAGUAAGGGCACUAUCCUGUGCAUCUAACCUCCAUGAUCACCCCAUCUCUAAUUUAAGGCACGUUAUUGUAAAAAGAAUGAAAAAGUUUAUAUUUGACAGGUUUGUUUUGCACACAAUUGGCCAUAGUACAAAAAGGUACUGCUCAUUUUCAAUAAUACUGCUUGAGUGCACAACUCAACCUAUAAAGAAGUAGUAUGCAAAAUUGUAUGUAAAAAUGUUUAUCAGAAGGAAAGUUAUCACUGUUCGCAUAAGUGUAGGAUGCAAAAAAUCAUGUUUUGAGAAAAAUGGCUUUAAAGAUUUCAGUCGAAUGUACAUAUAAUAAAGAGACAAUCAAUAUGUCUCCAGCAUCAUAGCUUGGGCCCUCCUCUGAAGUGGCGCAUUCUCCUUUUGAGCGAGCUGAAGCACACAUAUUUUUUUAAGCUCAUUUGUGUCUCCAGCUGACUCUCAUCUAUGUGCGCCACAGCGGGUCCACGCUUGGUAUAUUGAUUCCAUAACUUGCGUUGAUGCUUCUUUUUUGUCCUAUACUUUGCCAUAUUUCAUGGAGUACUGUAACUUUCUCCUUGAAAGGCCACAAAUGAAUCCAAGAGCUUGAAGUGGUGUACGAAAAAGCACAGACGGCCGAGUAAGAACGCGCACAACUUAAACAACAGAGUGCCGCAUCCGUGUAGUGGAAAUUUUCAAAUAAAUCGAAAACAUCAUGCCCCACAAGCUUCAGAAUGUACUUAGACACUUAGCAUUAUGUAAUAUGUAUAAGGAAAAACAUUUGUGACGACAUGGCAGGUGUUGUGGAAUCAGAAACCUUCAGUUUCGAUUUCGAAUGCGUCUUAGGUUGGAAAAAUGGUCAGAACUGUCGAACGGCUUAAGAUAACUACAUAAUUUUUUUGCUAAAUAUUCUUGAAUAGACAAGGAGCUUGAAAAUGUCGAAUUCAAAAAAAUUCUGUUUUGAAGGUGGUGACCUACCUUAAAAGAUUGUGCAGGUCUUGAUAACCUUUCCAUCAUUGUAAACUUGCCCGUUUAUCUCUUUUUCAUAAAAUUUAUUAUCAUCCGUUCCUUCAUGACGAUUUUUUCAGUCACCCUUAGCCAUCUUUCCACACCGUCAUCACCCUCUCAAGAUCAAACACAUCACAUGCCGUACUUCAUCUUUUGCUAAUUCAGUCAUACCAAAAACCAUCAUUGAAUGGAACCAGCUGCCUCGUAAAAUUGCAAUAGAAAGCAAAAUUCAGAAAUUUAAUGACCUUUUAAACUUUAAAGUUUAAUGUUCUGCUCUAUUCUCAAUUACCCAUUUGAUUCUUAUUUUGUACUGUAUUAUGUUAUUCUGUUAUCUUGUGUUGCAUUAUUAUGUUGCGUUUUUAAAUAUCUUUUUUCAAUAUUUUCAAUAUGUGUUGCGUUAUUGUGUUGCUUUUUUCAGUAUGCUUAAGCAAGUCUUGUUAUUUUUGCUAAUUUUUAUGUUUGCUGUCUCUGUAUUGUAUCUUUUCUUCUUUUGCUACCCCCCUAUGUAAUACCCUCCCAGUGAGGGUGUUCGGGGGUUUCCUGAAAUAAAAAAAAUAAAUAAAAGUCACCUCUUCACUUACCCCUUUCAGACGCCACCUAUGAAGAACUGUAUGUAAACGUGUCAAACUGACACAACAUUAUUUGACGGCACUCAAUAUUCUAUUGCAACAAAAAUAGUGUCAUAAUAUAUCAAUUUAGGUGUUAUAGUAACUCGUCCUAAUUAAGUAGUAAUUAAAUAUCUAUUUAUCCUGAAGACGUUGAUGUUCUCUUUUGGCAUAAAUAGAAUGAAACUUUAGGCUAGAAAUAUUGUUAAAAUUCAUUCUUGGUUAUGUACAUUUCGAGCAAAGGAAAAUUAUACUUUCCACAAAUCCCUUAAAGCUUAUGAAGCGCUGAAGACAAAAAAACACUGACACUGCAUGUUCGCCCUGCUUGUUUC